UACGUAGGAGACGAGCGUUGUCCGGAUUUACUGGGCGUAAAGGGUGCGCAGGUGGCCGCGCGCGUGGGGAGUGAAAUCGCCUGGCUUAACUGGGCGGGGGCUUUCCAGACGGCGUGGCUUGAGCCACAGAGGGGGGCGUGGAAUUCCGGGUGGAGCGGUGAAAUGCGUAGAUAUCGAGAGGAACACCUGCGGCGAAGGCGGGUUGCUGGGCCGACACUGACGCUGAUGCGCGAAAGCCAGGGGAGCGAACGGG
Molecule: ribosomal RNA, 253 nt
Filed under: uncultured bacterium
Lineage: Bacteria
Description: partial 16S ribosomal RNA
Rfam family: Bacterial small subunit ribosomal RNA
Source: RNAcentral